GACGAACGCUGGCGGCGUGCUUAACACAUGCAAGUCGAACGGAAAGGCCUGCUUUCCCUUGUGGAUUGCGGGUACUCGAGUGGCGAACGGGUGAGUAACACGUGAGUGAUCUGCCCCCAACUUGGGUAUAAGCCUGGGAAACUGGGUCUAAUUCCCGAUAGGACUGCAGGGUGGUGCCUAUGGUGGAAAACGAUUUUCUAGUGGUUGGGGAUGAGCUCGCGGCCUAUCAGCUUGUUGGUGGGGUAAUGGCCUACCAAGGCGGCGACGGGUAGCCGGCCUGGGAGGGUGGACGGCCACAUUGGGACUGAGAUACGGCCCAGACUCCUACGGGAGGCAGCAGUGGGGAAUAUUGCACAAUGGGCGGAAGCCUGAUGCAGCGACGCCGCGUGGGGGAUGACGGCCUUCGGGUUGUAAACUCCUUUCGACCGCGAGGAAGCCACCUGGUUGGAAGGGUGGUGACGGUAGUGGUAGAAGAAGCACCGGCUAACUACGUG
Molecule: ribosomal RNA, 494 nt
Filed under: uncultured bacterium
Lineage: Bacteria
Description: partial 16S ribosomal RNA
Rfam family: Bacterial small subunit ribosomal RNA
Source: RNAcentral